AUGCAAGUCGAGCGGUAGCACAGAGAGCUUGCUCUCGGGUGACGAGCGGCGGACGGGUGAGUAAUGUCUGGGAAACUGCCUGAUGGAGGGGGAUAACUACUGGAAACGGUAGCUAAUACCGCAUAACGUCGCAAGACCAAAGUGGGGGACCUUCGGGCCUCAUGCCAUCAGAUGUGCCCAGAUGGGAUUAGCUAGUAGGUGGGGUAACGGCUCACCUAGGCGACGAUCCCUAGCUGGUCUGAGAGGAUGACCAGCCACACUGGAACUGAGACACGGUCCAGACUCCUACGGGAGGCAGCAGUGGGGAAUAUUGCACAAUGGGCGCAAGCCUGAUGCAGCCAUGCCGCGUGUGUGAAGAAGGCCUUCGGGUUGUAAAGCACUUUCAGCGGGGAGGAAGGCGAUAAGGUUAAUAACCUUGUCGAUUGACGUUACCCGCAGAAGAAGCACCGGCUAACUCCGUGCCAGCAGCCGCGGUAAUACGGAGGGUGCAAGCGUUAAUCGGAAUUACUGGGCGUAAAGCGCACGCAGGCGGUCUGUCAAGUCGGAUGUGAAAUCCCCGGGCUCAACCUGGGAACUGCAUUCGAAACUGGCAGGCUAGAGUCUUGUAGAGGGGGGUAGAAUUCCAGGUGUAGCGGUGAAAUGCGUAGAGAUCUGGAGGAAUACCGGUGGCGAAGGCGGCCCCCUGGACAAAGACUGACGCUCAGGUGCGAAAGCGUGGGGGAGCAAACAGGAUUAGAUACCCUGGUAGUCCACGCCGUAAACGAUGUCGAUUUGGAGGUUGUGCCCUUGAGGCGUGGCUUCCGGAGCUAACGCGUUAAAUCGACCGCCUGGGGAGUACGGCCGCAAGGUUAAAACUCAAAUGAAUUGACGGGGGCCCGCACAAGCGGUGGAGCAUGUGGUUUAAUUCGAUGCAACGCGAAGAACCUUACCUGGUCUUGACAUCCACAGAACUUACCAGAGAUGGCUUGGUGCCUUCGGGAACUGUGAGACAGGUGCUGCAUGGCUGUCGUCAGCUCGUGUUGUGAAAUGUUGGGUUAAGUCCCGCAACGAGCGCAACCCUUAUCCUUUGUUGCCAGCGGUUAGGCCGGGAACUCAAAGGAGACUGCCAGUGAUAAACUGGAGGAAGGUGGGGAUGACGUCAAGUCAUCAUGGCCCUUACGACCAGGGCUACACACGUGCUACAAUGGCAUAUACAAAGAGAAGCGACCUCGCGAGAGCAAGCGGACCUCAUAAAGUAUGUCGUAGUCCGGAUUGGAGUCUGCAACUCGACUCCAUGAAGUCGGAAUCGCUAGUAAUCGUAGAUCAGAAUGCUACGGUGAAUACGUUCCCGGGCCUUGUACACACCGCCCGUCACACCAUGGGAGUGGGUUGCAAAAGAAGUAGGUAGCUUAACCUUCGGGAGGGCGCU
This 1408-nucleotide ribosomal RNA is filed under the name Klebsiella sp. P11. Its description in RNAcentral is "bacterial SSU rRNA". It matches the Rfam family "Bacterial small subunit ribosomal RNA". Lineage: Bacteria; Pseudomonadati; Pseudomonadota; Gammaproteobacteria; Enterobacterales; Enterobacteriaceae. The record is from RNAcentral.